This 500-nucleotide long non-coding RNA is filed under the name Heterocephalus glaber (naked mole-rat). RNAcentral describes it as "lncRNA (ENSHGLG00000045870.1)". The record is from RNAcentral. Lineage: Eukaryota; Metazoa; Chordata; Mammalia; Rodentia; Bathyergidae.
CCUGGAUUUCAGAUUUGCCUAUGCUCUGUGUUUUCAGAGACAUUUCACAGUAUACAACUUGAACGGAUUUCAAGCCUAGUAUAGUCUUUGUCAUUCAAGGAUUGACCCCUCAGCUUCCCAAUCAAAGAGUCAUGAGUCCUACAGCCCAGCUGGGUCCUACCUGCCAUCUCGACUGGUGACAGCUGCACUAUGUGCUGCGGACAGAAGCUUGGCCCCGACAGCGGGUGCCACUAUUUACUGACACAGCUGUGGUCUGGUGAUGCAUGUCCCUCGUGCCCGGGGACUCUAAGGUUGGGUUUGGAAUCGCAAGGCCUUCAGGUGCCCAUGAACCCAUCUUGUCUUGUGAUGCCUUCCACCAGCACAAAAUAGACUAAGCCAGCUGGAAUCCUGGAUGACUCCUGGUGCAAGAGAAGCAUAGGAAAGAGAAAUGCACUGUAAAGGAUCAUUGAUUGUAACAGGAUACAGAGCAUAGAAGAAUUCUAUUGUGCUCUCACUUUCCC